UGCGUAUUGUUUGAUUUGCACAACAAAAGCACUUUGUACGAUGAAAAUGAAUGGGUAAGAAUUGAUCGGCGACAGUUUGUAUGGUUUUUAAAAAGUUUAAAAUGUAUGUCCGCUACUGAGAGGUUUUGCCAUCACAUCGUGGUGAUCGGGUUCUCGGUUGAACAUUCAAAUAACGAAAACUUACGGCGAUUAUGACCUCAUCACAAUAUAAUCGUGGUAAAUCGUGUUUUUCUACACCUCCAACCAUCACUUUUUUGCCUCCACUCACGCACAACGACUGACGUCGCUGUAUACCGUU
Aphis gossypii (cotton aphid) is the source of this 298-nucleotide long non-coding RNA. RefSeq lists it as uncharacterized. Lineage: Eukaryota; Metazoa; Arthropoda; Insecta; Hemiptera; Aphididae. The record is from RefSeq and is a predicted model, not a curated record. The transcript is spliced from 3 exons.